UUAUGGGAGCUUGCUCCCGUAAAUUAGCGGCGGACGGGUGAGUAACACGUGGGCAACCUGCCUAUAAGACUGGGAUAACUUCGGGAAACCGGAGCUAAUACCGGAUAAUUCCUUUCCUCACAUGGGGAAAGGCUGAAAGAUGGUUUACGCUAUCACUUAUAGAUGGGCCCGCGGCGCAUUAGCUAGUUGGUGAGGUAAUGGCUCACCAAGGCAACGAUGCGUAGCCGACCUGAGAGGGUGAUCGGCCACACUGGGACUGAGACACGGCCCAGACUCCUACGGGAGGCAGCAGUAGGGAAUCUUCCGCAAUGGACGAAAGUCUGACGGAGCAACGCCGCGUGAGUGAUGAAGGUUUUCGGA
This 360-nucleotide ribosomal RNA is filed under the name uncultured bacterium. RNAcentral's name for it is "bacterial SSU rRNA". It matches the Rfam family "Bacterial small subunit ribosomal RNA", at positions 70 to 422 of the family's 1533-position model. The record is from RNAcentral.